Long non-coding RNA from Ictalurus punctatus (channel catfish), 828 nucleotides. Lineage: Eukaryota; Metazoa; Chordata; Actinopteri; Siluriformes; Ictaluridae. The record is from Ensembl.
GGAGUGGGCAGGCAGAACUCUCAAGGCCUUGGGUGGUGGUGCCUUACUGAGCUCUCACAGCAUUCAUCAUGCUCUGUUUGUUUAAGCCUGAGCCAAUUCCACUGUCUGUACAGGACUCAGAAGCAGGAUCCCCCACACCCUGAGGAGGCUGAAAAACUCCAUAGUGCUCACCAAACCUGGGUGUCCUUUAAUGACCAGGUUUGUCACUGGAGGAAAGUAGGAAGGAGAAGAGAACACCAUCUGCUCGAUCCAAGCCAGGAGUCAGAGAAAUCUCUUCUACAGGUUUUCUGCUUGAACACGGCUUAACGCACCCUUCAUGAGGAUAUAACAUGGCAAGUUUAGAAUGUUGCUAUCUUUUUUUUUUUUUUUUUUUUUUUGGAAAAUUUUUUAAUGAUGGUGUUGAACUGUACUAAAGAGAACUAAUGAAGCAGGAUAAGGAAAUGCUGAUCUAAGAGAGUCUAUAAACACUAGUGUAGAUUAUAUCCUUAAAGAGCUUGUGUUAAUAAGGCAAGUGAGCUCAAGUGUUAUCAGAGGGAACAAACUAAAUUACAUUGUAAACUGAUUUAUUAAGUCUACCUCCUUACACUCACUUGCCAGAUGACAUGAAGAUAUAAGAGAUUUGAUUUCUCUCCUACACACUGCCAUGUAGACCAAUGCUCAACAUCUGGUGGAUUAUGGUCUGGAAGUAUUUCACCAGCACGACCACUCGAACAUACUGUAACAGAACUGAUAACCACUUCCUUACACUAUAUAAACGAAGUACUGUAAAGAAGCUACGCAAAAAAAUAAAAACAGACUUGCAUAUUUUGUUUGUAAGACCUUCUGAAG